RNAcentral lists this non-coding RNA (28 nucleotides) under Rattus norvegicus (Norway rat). The record is from RNAcentral. Lineage: Eukaryota; Metazoa; Chordata; Mammalia; Rodentia; Muridae.
UACCAUUAUUGUGUGAGGUGCAAUGUGU